CCUACGGGAGGCUGCAGUGGGGUAUAUUGGACAAUGGGCGAAAGCCUGAUCCAGCCAUGCCGCGUGUGUGAAGAAGGCCUUCGGGUUGUAAAGCACUUUCAGUGGGGAAGAAAGCCUUGGGGCUAAUACCCUCGAGGAAGGACAUCACCCACAGAAGAAGCACCGGCUAACUCCGUGCCAGCAGCCGCGGUAAUACGGAGGGUGCGAGCGGUAAUCGGAAUUACUGGGCGUAAAGCGCGCGUAGGCGGUCUGAUAAGCCGGUUGUGAAAGCCCCGGGCUCAACCUGGGAACGGCAUCCGGAACUGUCAGGCUAGAGUGCAGGAGAGGAAGGUAGAAUUCCCGGUGUAGCGGUGAAAUGCGUAGAGAUCGGGAGGAAUACCAGUGGCGAAGGCGGCCUUCUGGACUGACACUGACGCUGAGGUGCGAAAGCGUGGGUAGCAAACAGGAUUAGAUACCCCAGUAGUC
Molecule: ribosomal RNA, 465 nt
Filed under: Vreelandella stevensii
Lineage: Bacteria; Pseudomonadati; Pseudomonadota; Gammaproteobacteria; Oceanospirillales; Halomonadaceae
Description: partial 16S ribosomal RNA
Rfam family: Bacterial small subunit ribosomal RNA
Source: RNAcentral